AGCUCCAAUAGCGUAUAUUAAAGUUGUUGCAGUUAAAAAGCUCGUAGUUGGAUUUGUGGUUGGGUCUGUCGGUCCGGCACAUUGUGCGGGUACUUGAUGGACUCGUCCAUCCUUGGGUGGAAUCUGUGUGGCAUUAAGUUGUCGUGCAGGGGAUGCCCAUCGUUUACUGUGAAAAAAUUAGAGUGUUCAAAGCAGGCUUAUGCCGUUGAAUAUAUUAGCAUGGAAUAAUGAGAUAGGACCUUGGUACUAUUUUGUUGGUUUGCGCACCGAGGUAAUGAUUAAUAGGGACAGUUGGGGGUAUUCGUAUUCCAUUGUCAGAGGUGAAAUUCUUGGAUUUUUGGAAGACGAACUACUGCGAAAGCAUUUACCAAGGAUGUUUUCA
RNAcentral lists this ribosomal RNA (382 nucleotides) under uncultured eukaryote. RNAcentral's name for it is "SSU rRNA". It matches the Rfam family "Eukaryotic small subunit ribosomal RNA", at positions 587 to 972 of the family's 1831-position model. The record is from RNAcentral.